Molecule: transfer RNA, 71 nt
Filed under: Oryzias latipes (Japanese medaka)
Lineage: Eukaryota; Metazoa; Chordata; Actinopteri; Beloniformes; Adrianichthyidae
Rfam family: tRNA
About the family: Transfer RNA (tRNA) molecules are approximately 80 nucleotides in length. Their secondary structure includes four short double-helical elements and three loops (D, anti-codon, and T loops). Further hydrogen bonds mediate the characteristic L-shaped molecular structure. tRNAs have two regions of fundamental functional importance: the anti-codon, which is responsible for specific mRNA codon recognition, and the 3' end, to which the tRNAs corresponding amino acid is attached (by aminoacyl-tRNA synthetases). tRNAs cope with the degeneracy of the genetic code in two manners: having more than one tRNA (with a specific anti-codon) for a particular amino acid; and 'wobble' base-pairing, i.e. permitting non-standard base-pairing at the 3rd anti-codon position.
Source: Rfam by way of RNAcentral
GGGCCGUGGUGUAGUGGUAGGGCGGUCGACCUCCAAUCGAAAUAUUGCGGGUUUGAUUCCCGCCUUGCCCG